UACAGAGGGUGCAAGCGUUGCUCGGAUUUACUGGGCGUAAAGCGUACGCAGACGGUGAGAAAGGUCGGAUGUGAAAGCCCCGGGCUCAACCCGGGAACUGCAUCCGAAACCAUCUCGCUAGAGUAUGAGAGAGGGAAGCAGAAUUCCUGGUGUAGAGGUGAAAUUCGUAGAUAUCAGGAGGAAUACCUGCGGCGAAGGCGGCUUCCUGGCUCAUUACUGACGUUCAGGUACGAAAGCGUGGGUAGCAAACAGG
RNAcentral lists this ribosomal RNA (253 nucleotides) under uncultured bacterium. RNAcentral describes it as "partial 16S ribosomal RNA". It matches the Rfam family "Bacterial small subunit ribosomal RNA", at positions 524 to 776 of the family's 1533-position model. The record is from RNAcentral.